CCAAACUUGGUCAUUUAGAGGGAAGUAAAAGUCGUAACAAGGUUUCCGUAGGUGAACCUGCGGAAGGAUCAUUACCGAGUUAGGGUGUCGCCCCGGCGCGCCCGACCUCCCAACCCUUUGUCUACCUUACCACACCGUUGCUUCGGCAGGCCGCGCCGACCCCCGGGGACCUCCCCGGGGCGAGGCCGUCGGGGGCCUCGCGCCCCGGGUCCGCGCCUGUCGACGGCCACUCUCAAACUCAUGUCUAAACGUGUCGUCUGAGUACCACAUUAAAUACAAACCAAAACUUUCAACAACGGAUCUCUUGGUUCUGGCAUCGAUGAAGAACGCAGC
RNAcentral lists this unclassified non-coding RNA (333 nucleotides) under uncultured fungus. RNAcentral's name for it is "partial contains small subunit ribosomal RNA, internal transcribed spacer 1, and 5.8S ribosomal RNA". The stretch from base 1 to 74 matches the Rfam family "Eukaryotic small subunit ribosomal RNA", at positions 1759 to 1831 of the family's 1831-position model. Lineage: Eukaryota; Fungi. The record is from RNAcentral.